UCUUCUAGCUUGCUAGAAGUGGAUUAGUGGCGCACGGGUGAGUAAUGCAUAGGUUAUGUGCCCUUUAGUCUGGGAUAGCCACUGGAAACGGUGAUUAAUACUGGAUACUCCCUACGGGGGAAAGUUUUUCGCUAAAGGAUCAGCCUAUGUCCUAUCAGCUUGUUGGUGAGGUAAUGGCUCACCAAGGCUAUGACGGGUAUCCGGCCUGAGAGGGUGAUCGGACACACUGGAACUGAGACACGGUCCAGACUCCUACGGGAGGCAGCAGUAGGGAAUAUUGCUCAAUGGGGGAAACCCUGAAGCAGCAACGCCGCGUGGAGGAUGAAGGUUUUAGGAUUGUAAACUCCUUUUGUUAGAGAAGAUUAUGACGGUAUCUAACGAAUAAGCACCGGCUAACUCCGUGCCAGCAGCCGCGGUAGUACGGAGGGUGCAAGCGUUACUCGGAAUCACUGGGCGUAAAGAGUGCGUAGGCGGGGUAAUAAGUCAGAUGUGAAAUCCUGUAGCUUAACUACAGAACUGCAUUUGAAACUGUUACUCUGGAGUGUGGGAGAGGUAGGUGGAAUUCUUGGUGUAGGGGUAAAAUCCGUAGAGAUCAAGUGGAAUACUCAUUGCGAAGGCGACCUGCUGGAACAUUACUGACGCUGAUGCACGAAAGCGUGGGGAGCAAACAGGAUAGAUACCCUGGUAGUCCACGCCCUAAACGAUGGAUGCUAGUUGUUGCCUUGCUUGUCAGGGCAGUAAUGCAGCUAACGCAUUAAGCAUCCCGCCUGGGGAGUACGGUCGCAAGAUUAAAACUCAAAGGAAUAGACGGGGACCCGCACAAGCGGUGGAGCAUGUGGUUUAA
This 844-nucleotide ribosomal RNA is filed under the name uncultured bacterium. RNAcentral describes it as "bacterial SSU rRNA". It matches the Rfam family "Bacterial small subunit ribosomal RNA", at positions 71 to 949 of the family's 1533-position model. The record is from RNAcentral.